UAGGGAAUCUUCGGCAAUGGGGGCAACCCUGACCUAGCAACGCCGCGUGAGUGAAGAAGGUUUUCGGAUCGUAAAGCUCUGUUGUAAGAGAAGAACGUGUGUGAGAGUGGAAAGUUCACACAGUGACGGUAACUUACCAGAAAGGGACGGCUAACUACGUGCCAGCAGCCGCGGUAAUACGUAGGUCCCGAGCGUUGUCCGGUUUUAUUGGGCGUAAAGCGAGGGCAGGCGGUUUAAUAAGUCUGAAGUUAAAGGCAGUGGCUUAACGAUUGUUCGCUUUGGAUACUGUUAAACUUGAGUGCAGAAGGGGAAAGUGGAAUUCCAUGUGUAGCGGUGAAGUACGUAGAUAUAUGGAGGAACACCGGUGGCGAAGUCGGCUCUCUGGUCUGUAACUGACGCUGAGGCUCGAAAGCGUGGGGAGCAAACAGG
This 429-nucleotide ribosomal RNA is filed under the name bacterium. RNAcentral describes it as "partial 16S ribosomal RNA". It matches the Rfam family "Bacterial small subunit ribosomal RNA", at positions 355 to 776 of the family's 1533-position model. The record is from RNAcentral.